GAUGAACGCUGGCGGCGUGCUUAACACAUGCAAGUCGAACGGGAAACCUUUUAAUGAGGCUUCGGCAGAUUUAGCUGGUUUCUAGUGGCGGACGGGUGAGUAACGCGUGGGUAACCUGCCUUAUACAGGGGGAUAACAGUCAGAAAUGACUGCUAAUACCGCAUAAGCGCACAGGACCGCAUGGUCCGGUGUGAAAAACUCCGGUGGUAUAAGAUGGACCCGCGUUGGAUUAGCUUGUUGGUGGGGUAACGGCUCACCAAGGCGACGAUCCAUAGCCGGCCUGAGAGGGUGAACGGCCACAUUGGGACUGAGACACGGCCCCGACUCCUACGGGAGGGAGCAGUGGGGAAUAUUGCACAAUGGGGGAAACCCUGAUGCAGCGACGCCGCGUGAAGGAAGAAGUAUCUCGGUAUGUAAACUUCUAUCAGCAGGGAAGAUAGUGACGGUACCUGACUAAGAAGCCCCGGCUAACUACGUG
This 478-nucleotide ribosomal RNA is filed under the name uncultured bacterium. Its description in RNAcentral is "partial 16S ribosomal RNA". It matches the Rfam family "Bacterial small subunit ribosomal RNA", at positions 28 to 507 of the family's 1533-position model. The record is from RNAcentral.